UACGGGGGGGGCAAGCGUUGUUCGGAAUUACUGGGCGUAAAGGGCUCGUAGGCGGCCAACUAAGUCAGACGUGAAAUCCCUCGGCUUAACCGGGGAACUGCGUCUGAUACUGGAUGGCUUGAGAUUGGGAGAGGGAUGCGGAAUUCCAGGUGUAGCGGUGAAAUGCGUAGAUAUCAGGAGGAACACCAGCGGCGAAGGCGGCUCACUGGCCCGGUACUGACGCUGAGGUGCGAAAGCGUGGGGAGCAAACAGG
Molecule: ribosomal RNA, 253 nt
Filed under: uncultured bacterium
Lineage: Bacteria
Description: partial 16S ribosomal RNA
Rfam family: Bacterial small subunit ribosomal RNA
Source: RNAcentral